Molecule: ribosomal RNA, 446 nt
Filed under: uncultured bacterium
Lineage: Bacteria
Description: partial 16S ribosomal RNA
Rfam family: Bacterial small subunit ribosomal RNA
Source: RNAcentral
UCUACGGGGGGCUGCAGUGGGGAAUAUUGCGCAAUGGGCGAAAGCCUGACGCAGCGACGCCGCGUGGGUGAUGAAGGCCUUCGGGUUGUAAAGCCCUGUCGGGUGGAACGAACGAUCUGGCGGCGAAUAACCGCCGGGUGUGACGGUACCACCGAAGGAAGCCCCGGCUAACUACGUGCCAGCAGCCGCGGUAAGACGUAGGGGGCGAGCGUUGUUCGGAUUUAGUGGGCGAGGUGCGUCGGUUGGCGGCUCCCUCGGCUUAACCGAGGUCCCGAAUCCGAUACUGUCUGGCUCGAGUCUAGGAGAGGAAAGCGGAAUUCCCAGUGUAGCGGUGAAAUGCGUAGAUAUUGGGAGGAACACCGGUGGCGAAGGCGGCUUUCCGGACUAGUACUGACGCUGAGGCGCGAAAGCUAGGGGAGCGAACGGGAUUAGAUACCCUUGUAGUC